GGAAUUGACGGGGCCGCACAAGCGGUGGAGUAUGUGGUUUAAUUCGAUGCAACGCGAAGAACCUUACCUGGUCUUGACAUCCCGGAGACCCUUAGGAAACUAGGGGGUGCUUCCAUCUGGAAGAAUCUGGAGACAGGUGCUGCAUGGCUGUCGUCAGCUCGUGUCGUGAGAUGUUGGGUUAAGUCCCGCAACGAGCGCAACCCUUGCCUUUAGUUGCCAGCAGUUCGGCUGGGCACUCUAAAGGGACUGCCGGUGUUAAACCGGAGGAAGGUGGGGAUGACGUCAAGUCCUCAUGGCCUUUAUGACCAGGGCUACACACGUACUACAAUGGCCGAUACAAAGGGCAGCGACACUGCGAGGUGAAGCCAAUCCCGUAAAAUCGGUCUCAGUCCGGAUUGGAGUCUGCAACUCGACUCCAUGAAGUUGGAAUCGCUAGUAAUCGUGGAUCAGCAUGCCACGGUGAAUACGUUCCCGGGCCUU
RNAcentral lists this ribosomal RNA (480 nucleotides) under uncultured Desulfobulbus sp. RNAcentral describes it as "bacterial SSU rRNA". It matches the Rfam family "Bacterial small subunit ribosomal RNA", at positions 906 to 1382 of the family's 1533-position model. The record is from RNAcentral. Lineage: Bacteria; Pseudomonadati; Thermodesulfobacteriota; Desulfobulbia; Desulfobulbales; Desulfobulbaceae.